GCCCCCGAUAUCAGGGGGUGGAUUUGAACCACGUGGUUCGACGGAGCAGCGCAGCUGCGACGAGCGCCGCCAGAGGCGGCGACCCGGAGGGCGAGCGGCGCAGCCGCGAGUCAUCCACCCCCCGGAGCCU
RNAcentral lists this small RNA (130 nucleotides) under Seongchinamella sediminis. RNAcentral's name for it is "Halioglobus sp. U0301 RtT sRNA". It matches the Rfam family "RtT RNA". Rfam says of the family: This family represents a bacterial cis-regulatory element known as RtT RNA. The record is from RNAcentral. Lineage: Bacteria; Pseudomonadati; Pseudomonadota; Gammaproteobacteria; Cellvibrionales; Halieaceae.